GCUAUUUCACUUGCCGGCGGGCAACCAAAAAAGCUCAUUAUAUUGAACACCAUAGAAUGUGUGGCCAAAAACAAUGUCUUUACAAAGGUUGUGUGUCAGCUGUAUUCGCGAAUGGAAUUUAAUGCCUUUGCGACCCUUGGCGAAAAGAAGGAUGCUCACAAAGUGUUGGGAAUUUGCGACGUUGAACUCUACUCACAUGGUCAGAAAAAAAUAACAAGAGUAAAAAAUAUGAAACUGGACUUUUGUCAGCUGAAUAAGUAUACCGAAAAGCACUCGAUAUUGGGAACAUACUACCAAGCACUUCGCAGAUCUGUAGUUGGUUUUCCCAAAAAGUGUCCCUUUAAAAAGAACAACACAUAUUCCGUGAAUCGUUUCUAUUUGAGCUGGCAAGAUACACCGCAAUAUCUACCCGAAGUGAACUUUACUUUUAGGGGAAAGAUUUAUGUGAACGAUGAGUUAGGAAUC
Molecule: long non-coding RNA, 465 nt
Organism: Drosophila erecta
Lineage: Eukaryota; Metazoa; Arthropoda; Insecta; Diptera; Drosophilidae
Exons: 3
Source: RefSeq, a predicted model, not a curated record